AACCUUAUGGACCUGCGGGCGUAUACCUGCGGAGGGAUCAUUAUUGAAUAAACUUGGUCAAGCUGUUGCUGGUCCUUCGGGGCAUGUGCACGCUUGCCACCAAUUUUAACCACCUGUGCACCUUUUGUAGAUUGGAAACGUCUCUCGAGGCAACUCGGAUUGAGGACUGCUGUGCGCAAGCCAGCUGUUCUUGUGUUUCUCAAUCUAUGUUUUCAUAUACUCCUAAUGUAUGUAUCAGAA
RNAcentral lists this unclassified non-coding RNA (240 nucleotides) under soil metagenome. RNAcentral's name for it is "partial contains 5.8S ribosomal RNA, internal transcribed spacer 2, and large subunit ribosomal RNA". The record is from RNAcentral.